This 1193-nucleotide long non-coding RNA is filed under the name Androctonus crassicauda. The record is from RNAcentral. Lineage: Eukaryota; Metazoa; Arthropoda; Arachnida; Scorpiones; Buthidae.
AUGAAAUGAAAAGAUAUUUUAAAGUUUAAGGUAUUAUAUAAAAAAUACAUUAGAGCAGAAGAAUGUUAUAUAUUCUUAAAAGAAUGUAAGUUUAAUACGGUGUUGCCUUUGUCAAUGCAUAGAAUUAGAUUACUAAUCUAAUAUAAGAACAUUGCCAAGGAAGUUAGACUAAGAUGUCUCAAAUACACAACAACAAAUGUUAGAAGGGAAUGCUUCAGGUUGAAAAAUAAAGUAAAAAAUUUGGAAUCUCAAUAUUUUAAUCAUGAUGAUGAGCAGGCUAGAGAACAAAUAUUGAAUACUAAAUCCCAACUGGAGUACUAUACUCAUUAUAUAUGCAUAUAGUUACAUCAAAAGGUUAAAAUGGAUAUUCCAUAAUCAAUUGCCAACAUUAAUAGUAGAUGAUGUUUUGACAGCCAUUGAAUUCUGCAACUGGGAUUGUACAUGUACCUUCCCCAGUUGCAAAACUUGUUUUAAAGGACCUAAUUGUGCAGUUGAAACAACCUUCCAACUUACAGAUAUUGCUCUCCAGCUGGAGCCUAUGCUAAGUAUAUAUAAUGAGGCAUACCACAAAAACUAAGAUGAGAAAUAAUUAAUGAAAAGAUUAAGUGCAAUAAAUCUAAAAAUUAUUUGAAUGAGAAAAAAUUUUGAAACUGCCACAGUAUAUGCUAAGCACUGAAUGAUUGAAAAGAACAUAGUAUGCACGAGGGAGGGCAAGACUAAAAAACUGGCUUUUAUGUGUAAAAUCACAUAUAAAAUGUUUCUACCUGGUUUCAUACAAAAAUCUGAAUCAGAAGUGCUAACACAGGAUUCUACUGAUGAGCUCUCAAGAAAAUUUAAUAGAAUUAUAACAUCAAAAAAGUUUCCCAAACUCUGGACAGUUAGUAAGAUUGAUUGCCCACUGCCUCCAUGCUUAUUUGGUUAUAUAAUGCUCAUAUAACUCCAGUGGCAUUAAGACCAAUGGUAGAUGAAACAUCAUUGCCUGUUUAUAAUCAGAAAAAGUUAUAAUAGCAUGAGCUAAUAAUAUAAUGAAAGGAUGUCACCAUACAAUUAUAUCCUCCCAGGAGUUUAUAGAAAGACUAUUAGAAAUGGGACCUUUGCCAAACGAAAUCAUAAACUAGUGGUUCUCAACCUUGUUUGUUGCCACAGUACACUUUUAAUAAUUCAAAAAUUUGGUAGCACAUUAACAAUAAGAG